UUAUGGGAAUUUAGUGAUCCACAUGUCACGGACGCCAUUACACAUGUUAGAAAACUUCGCGGGAAAGUUUUCGAGUUGGGAAAGUUCAGGUAACACAAUAGAGAAAUAAAUGACUAAAUAAAUUGGUCACUUUGAUGCUGUUCAUGGUUGACUGACUUGAUCUGUGGCAGGUUUUUGUGUAGGUUAUUACAAUGUUUGAAGUCGCCUUGGUGAUGUAAUAAGACUUGAGCAGAAAAAUUGGUAUAGAUUAUGACAGAGGAGAUUGAGGAUAGUAACCUUGUAAAAUAUGUGUACAUGUAGGUACAUGUAUGCUUAUGUAUAUUGUUUUUGCUGUAAAAUGAUAAAAUAGUGUCUUUGCAAGAUGGAUAACAUUAUUAUAAAGGAUAUUUUAUGUUAUUUGUGACAUUUUGGAUUAAUAAUUCUUUAUCAGGGUGGAGUUGUUGACUAGAGAUGAUAGUUGAGCAGGUAGUACUACAUGUGCAAGAUACUUGUCUAGAUUGAAUAAAGAUACAGAGGUAGUGAAGAAAGGAAAGAAAGAUGGAUUUAAGAUAAUUUACAACUGGCAAAAGAAAUUUUUUAUUUUUUUUUUAUUUUCUCUGGAAUAUUUGAUUUGGAGGAUAGUGGUAAAAAUUUUGAGACAAUUUGAGGAAAAAAAGAUUAACUUGGUUAAGAAGAAAAUUUACCCGUCUCAAUACUGAGUUGAAUACUAUAAGUUCUGCAUCUUCCAGAAUCCAGUUUGUGAGAUAUAUGGAGAAAUGUUAUGUCUUCUCCAUAGCUACAACAAAGUUCAUUUUAUUACUAUUUCACUUACUUUCUAUUAUUAAUAGAAUUAAUAUAGAUUUUUAUUAUCAACAAAGUAUAUGAUGUACUCUUUGAAAUUAAUUUGAUAAGUGUUGUGUAUUACUAUUAGUCCCUGCAUGCACUUUCUAGAGCAACUCAUUGAGUAUUAAUAUUGUAUUUAUUUAAUGUUUUCUGGGUCUACAAAAGUGCAUGCUUCAGAUAUAAUAAUAUCAUUUAACAAGAUCUAAAAUAUAUUUCUUUUGUGACUUUGUGCCCUUGAUGAAAAAAGGGUUGGCCCUCUUGAUCAUCUAUGCUAACUUUUUUGUCUGACUUUGUUCCCUCUCGAAAUUGAACACUGAUGGACUACCAUUCUAGUCAAGAUGAAUGUAGUAUUAAAGAAAAUCUGUAUGGUACUAGUAGUGUUAAACCAAUGAUUAAUAUGUGAUAAAUAGCAG
Patella vulgata (common limpet) is the source of this 1235-nucleotide long non-coding RNA. RefSeq lists it as uncharacterized. The transcript is spliced from 4 exons. NCBI's taxonomy places the organism in Eukaryota, Metazoa, Mollusca, Gastropoda, Patellidae. The record is from RefSeq and is a predicted model, not a curated record.